CCUACGGGAGGCAGCAGUGAGGAAUAUUGGUCAAUGGACGAGAGUCUGAACCAGCCAAGUAGCGUGAAGGAUGACUGCCCUAUGGGUUGUAAACUUCUUUUAUAUGGGAAUAAAAUGUUCCACGUGUGGGAUUUUGUAUGUAUCAUAUGAAUAAGCAUCGGCUAACUCCGUGCCAGCAGCCGCGGUAAUACGGAGGAUCCGAGCGUUAUCCGGAUUUAUUGGGUUUAAAGGGAGCGUAGGUGGAUUGUUAAGUCAGUUGUGAAAGUUUGCGGCUCAACCGUAAAAUUGCAGUUGAAACUGGCAGUCUUGAGUACAGUAGAGGUAGGCGGAAUGCGUGGUGUAGCGGUGAAAUGCUUAGAUAUCACGAAGAACUCCGAUUGCGAAGGCAGCUCACUGGACUGCAACUGACACUGAGGCUCGAAAGUGUGGGUAUCGAACAGGAUUAGAUACCCUUGUAGUC
This 460-nucleotide ribosomal RNA is filed under the name uncultured bacterium. Its description in RNAcentral is "partial 16S ribosomal RNA". It matches the Rfam family "Bacterial small subunit ribosomal RNA", at positions 338 to 795 of the family's 1533-position model. The record is from RNAcentral.